This 458-nucleotide ribosomal RNA is filed under the name uncultured bacterium. RNAcentral describes it as "partial 16S ribosomal RNA". It matches the Rfam family "Bacterial small subunit ribosomal RNA", at positions 338 to 795 of the family's 1533-position model. The record is from RNAcentral.
CCUACGGGUGGCAGCAGUGGGGAAUAUUGCACAAUGGGGGAAACCCUGAUGCAGCGACGCCGCGUGAGUGAAGAAGUAAUUCGUUACGUAAAGCUCUAUCAGCAGGGAAGAAAUACUGACCUUACGGUCAGCAGACGGUACCUGAGUAAGAAGCCCCGGCUAACUACGUGCCAGCAGCCGCGGGAAUACGUAGGGGGCAAGCGUUAUCCGGAUUUACUGGGGGUAAAGGGAGCGUAGGCGGUGCGACAAGUCUGGAGUGAAAUGCCGCAGCUUAACUGCGGAACUGCCUUGGAAACUGGCGAACUAGAGUGCGAGAGGGGUAAGCGGAAUGCCUAGUGUAGCGGUGAAAUGCGUAGAUAUUAGGAGGAACACCGGUGGCGAAGGCGGCUUACUGGAGCGUAACUGACGUUGAGGCUCGAAAGCGUGGGGAGCGAACAGGAUUAGAUACCCUUGUAGUC